AACUGUAGUACCUCAAUUUUGUCUGAAUAUUUAAAUAUUUUUAAAAUAAAUAAACUUAUAUUUAAUAUUUAUUUGAUUAUCAUAUUUAACCAACACAAUCUAAAAAAAGUGUCAAUUUAUUCAAGCGCAUUUAGUUUGAGCCCAAUGUCCAUAUUACACUCAACCUAAAAUAACAAAAAUAUUAAAUAAAAAAUUAAAACAAAUAAUAAUUAAAAAUGAAAAGAAGUCUUUCUACAAAAGGCGCUUCUACCGUGCUCUCAUCCCAUCCAUCUUGUUUUUCAUGCUUCCAUCCCUUUCACCAAAAUGACACUCCACCUUCUUCAAUCUUCUAUAAUCCCUUAAAUCUUGCAAUUAAGUACAAUACAAUCCCACGAUUUCUGCAGAAAUCAAUAUUAAAAUCUAUUAACCAAUCAACCAAAUGCCUAUAAAUUGAACCAAAUACAAGGGUUUUAGAAAGGGGAAUGUUUUAGGGUUUUUGUUGGAAAAAGAAACAGAAACGUAAACUCAUAGAGAGGAUUAUGGUGAGCAUUCUGGUUUUUUUGAGCAACCGAUAGGUGAGAGAACAUGAAUGAAAACAUAAUACAAAUGUAGAGAAAUAAAGAGAGGGGAUAACUUCAAAAUAGAAGGGGAGGGGAGAGCUUUCUGAGCCAAACAAACCAAAUAAAAAUAAAUAAAACAUCAGAAUGAACUCUGAUACAAAAUCAACAACAACGAACUCACUCAAAAAAACUAGAAACUAAAACAUGAUUGUCAUCUCCUUUACCACGACAUAACCUCCAUCUCUUUUAUCACCACCUUCAUCUCCUUUAUCACCAUAUGAUCUUCAUCUUCACUAUCACAACAACAACAAAAGAAAGCAAGAAUAGAAAUAAAGAAAAGACGAAGAGAACGAAACAGAAAGAGAAAGUACGGAUCUCACCACUUCACGCUAUGAAAUUGCAUUGGAUACCUUCCUCCGUCAUGCUAGAAAUCGCCUCCUCCAUACAGUAAAUCGCCUCUGCCAUGCUAGAAAUCGCUUUGUUGCGCUAGAGGUCUAUUUUUGUCCCCUUUCAUCCUUUCCCUUCAUUUUUCAUUGCUUGCUUGUGAUGUGUUUUGUUAUAACACACACACGCACACACACACACAGAAGAGAGAGAGAGAGAGAGAGAGAGAGAGAGAGAGAAGAGAGAGAGAGAGAGAGAGAGAGAGAGAGAAGAGAGAGAGAGAGAUGAGAAGAGAGAGAGAAGAGAAGACGGAGAAGAGAGAGAGAGAGAGAGAGAGAGAGAGAGAGAGAGAGAUAAGAGUUUGGAUCUUUUGAGAGAGAUGAAGAGAUUGUUGUUGUUGUUCAAAAGGAGAAAGGAAAUUUUGGUGAGGAUUCUGUUAAAGAGAGAGGGUGAGGUUUAGUUAACAAAGAGAGAAGAAAAUUUGAAGUUUUUUUCUGAGAAGCUAGAGAGGAGGUUUUGUUUGGUACAAAGAGUAAAAGGGUUCUAUGUGUUGAGAUAGGGUAAAUUUUUUAUUUGAAUUGAAAUUUGUUGAGGCCUAUUUUGCAAUGAAUAUAAAAAACUAAACGUUUUUUUAUGUAGCAACUAAGAGAAGCGCGACCCCCACAUGUUCCUUUCUGUUUAGUUUUUUUCCCUUUUUUUUUUGUUGUCAUUUAUUUAUUUAUUAUUUUAAUAAAUGUACAUUAAAGAAAAAUGAUAAAAUUUGGUUAAAUAGAUGCAUAUCUAUGUUAAUCGUUAA
RNAcentral lists this long non-coding RNA (1719 nucleotides) under Lathyrus oleraceus (garden pea). RNAcentral describes it as "Pisum sativum (pea) long non-coding RNA (PSAT_LNC024255)". The record is from RNAcentral. Lineage: Eukaryota; Viridiplantae; Streptophyta; Magnoliopsida; Fabales; Fabaceae.